RNAcentral lists this microRNA (24 nucleotides) under Triticum aestivum (bread wheat). RNAcentral describes it as "tae-miR1135". The record is from miRBase by way of RNAcentral. Lineage: Eukaryota; Viridiplantae; Streptophyta; Magnoliopsida; Poales; Poaceae.
CUGCGACAAGUAAUUCCGAACGGA